AUUGAACGCUGGCGGCAGGCCUAACACAUGCAAGUCGAACGGUAACAGGAAGAAGCUUGCUUCUUUGCUGACGAGUGGCGGACGGGUGAGUAAUGUCUGGGAAACUGCCUGAUGGAGGGGGAUAACUACUGGAAACGGUAGCUAAUACCGCAUAACGUCGCAAGACCAAAGAGGGGGACCUUCGGGCCUCUUGCCAUCGGAUGUGCCCAGAUGGGAUUAGCUAGUAGGUGGGGUAACGGCUCACCUAGGCGACGAUCCCUAGCUGGUCUGAGAGGAUGACCAGCCACACUGGAACUGAGACACGGUCCAGACUCCUACGGGAGGCAGCAGUGGGGAAUAUUGCACAAUGGGCGCAAGCCUGAUGCAGCCAUGCCGCGUGUAUGAAGAAGGCCUUCGAGUUGUAAAGUACUUUCAGCGGGGAGGAAGGGAGUAAAGUUAAUACCUUUGCUCAUUGACGUUACCCGCAGAAGAAGCACCGGCUAACUCCGUG
Molecule: ribosomal RNA, 490 nt
Filed under: uncultured bacterium
Lineage: Bacteria
Description: partial 16S ribosomal RNA
Rfam family: Bacterial small subunit ribosomal RNA
Source: RNAcentral